CAAAAGCAAAAUUGACUUUGACUGCAUAACAAGUUUGUGUGAGGGCUACACUGGUUCUCAUAUGUGAUUUGUUAUAAUCCCAGCUAAUUCUUCAAGGCACCAAGGCCAUUGUCCCAGUCAGACUCGCAGAGAAUUCUUGGCACAUCAACUAAGACUAGGGUUGCUGCAAAUGAGUACAGGAGGUCAAGCUCACAUUCACCUAGGUGGCCAGGUAGUCAGAUGACUAUCAGGUUCAAGCCAUAACUUAUACUCGUAGUAUCUCAAAUCUUGAAUCUUCAGUCGGAUAAUCAGGACCCUUGAAAUAUUGAUUUGUUUUUUCUUGAUAUCAGGCCAAGAGAAAUUGUAUUUUAAAUUAUUUUAAUGUUUUUCCUAUUCUGAAAUGCUCUAAGUAGAAUAUGUUGUUUUUAGGCGACUCAAAAUUGCAGAUUUGCUGUAGCAUAGAGCUCUUAGCGUGGUAUUAAUACCUAUCUUGCUUUUCUUUUGCUUUA
Molecule: long non-coding RNA, 488 nt
Organism: Populus euphratica (Euphrates poplar)
Lineage: Eukaryota; Viridiplantae; Streptophyta; Magnoliopsida; Malpighiales; Salicaceae
Exons: 2
Source: RefSeq, a predicted model, not a curated record